CAAAUCUUAUUUUGUCGUGCACCCAAAUGACUGGCCCAUGAACUAACAGUCACCUCAGCGUUGGGGUCUUGCUGAGAUAACCCAAAGAACGUGGCGACGUAGGAUGGCUGUACUUCUGGGUGAUAAAUACCUCACUUAUGAGGAUUAAAAUGUCCACCAGGGCAUUCUCUUUAUAACUGGCUUUGUCCCAAGAGAACCCAUGUAGAAUUUGUUGUUAUUGUUUGCUUGCAGUUGGGGUUGGGGAAGGACAGGGUCCCAUCUUCUCAUGAAGACUAAGUUGACCGGAAUUGUUGCCGUGCUGGACAGAAUCCAAAUUACCUGCAACUGUAUCCAUCAUGGGCUCUGGGAGCUAAGUGGAUUCCCGAAGCUUGGAUCUAAACUGUGCUGAGAGAGAUCAGUGCAAAUGUGGCCGAGGGACUUGGGUUUUCCUUUUACUGCUGAAUCUGGUUUUCUUGAGUUUCAGCACCAGUGUGGCAGCGUUUGGCUUGCUGGGCAUCAGGCACACGAAUCUGAGAUUAAGAAGUUCGGUAUCAAUGGUCGCCCACCUUUCCUUCUGGAUGAUCAAGAGGAAACAAGAAGGUCAUCUAACAUGGCUUCUCGGGCCAGGAGAUGUGCGCUGUAAUCAAAGGGCAGUAGGAUCCUGGCUCAAUUCUUGUGUGACUUCCCAGGGCCGCAAGGAUGGAGGUGCCAGGCUAAGGCUGGCCAGUUUCUUGAUGCUAACCCUAACCUUGUUUUUGUGGUUCCUCCUGGCCUGGUCUCUCAUUUUGAGAGACCCCUCUCCCUAGGUAAGUCCCCUCUGUUUUUCCCCCGUCUCAGCUGAUCUUCAUGGAGCAGAUUUUAUCUAAUCUUUAAGGUGUUGUUUUUGGUCCUUGUUUAUUCUCUCUUUCCAAUCUGUUGUUAAGUUUGCACCUUUAGUGACUCCUUUUUUCCAAGUGAGUUUUAAGAUUGUUCGCUCUCC
Molecule: long non-coding RNA, 958 nt
Filed under: Equus caballus (horse)
Lineage: Eukaryota; Metazoa; Chordata; Mammalia; Perissodactyla; Equidae
Description: lncRNA (ENSECAG00000041467.2)
Source: RNAcentral